AAUGAAGUGCCUGAGUAAAGGAUUAUCUUGAUAGGAUAAAAUACGUAUAAAUUUUUUACCUUCAUUA
This 67-nucleotide transfer RNA is filed under the name Rhagophthalmus lufengensis. Its description in RNAcentral is "tRNA-Ile". The record is from RNAcentral. Lineage: Eukaryota; Metazoa; Arthropoda; Insecta; Coleoptera; Rhagophthalmidae.